UCCCCCUGCAAUGGACAAAGGGACAUCUUGGUGGUGGUGUUCUUCUAUCAGUCAGGGACAGAGCAGAUGGCGGUCCUUUGUUCAUCCUAGCUUGAUGACUGGCUUGGUGGCCAAAGCUGUUUUAUGCCUAAGACGCAUAA
Molecule: small nucleolar RNA, 140 nt
Organism: Apodemus sylvaticus (European woodmouse)
Lineage: Eukaryota; Metazoa; Chordata; Mammalia; Rodentia; Muridae
Product: small nucleolar RNA SNORA48
Exons: 1
Source: RefSeq, a predicted model, not a curated record